GACGAACGCUGGCGGCGUGCUUAACACAUGCAAGUCGAACGGAAAGGCCCUGCUUUUGUGGGGUGCUCGAGUGGCGAACGGGUGAGUAACACGUGAGUAACCUGCCCUUGACUUUGGGAUAACUUCAGGAAACUGGGGCUAAUACCGGAUAGGAGCUCCUGCUGCAUGGUGGGGGUUGGAAAGUUUCGGCUGUUGGGGAUGGACUCGCGGCUUAUCAGCUUGUUGGUGGGGUAGUGGCUUACCAAGGCUUUGACGGGUAGCCGGCCUGAGAGGGUGACAGGCCACAUUGGGACUGAGAUACGGCCCAGACUCCGACGGGAGGCAGCAGUGGGGAAUAUUGCACAAGGGGCGGAAGCCUGAUGCAGCAACGCCGCGUGCGGGAUGACGGCCUUCGGGUUGUAAACCGCUUUCGCCUGUGACGAAGCGUGAGUGACGGUAAUGGGUAAAGAAGCACCGGCUAACUACGUG
RNAcentral lists this ribosomal RNA (468 nucleotides) under uncultured bacterium. RNAcentral's name for it is "partial 16S ribosomal RNA". It matches the Rfam family "Bacterial small subunit ribosomal RNA", at positions 28 to 507 of the family's 1533-position model. The record is from RNAcentral.